RNAcentral lists this transfer RNA (67 nucleotides) under Sumaterana crassiovis. Its description in RNAcentral is "partial tRNA-Val". It matches the Rfam family "tRNA". Rfam says of the family: Transfer RNA (tRNA) molecules are approximately 80 nucleotides in length. Their secondary structure includes four short double-helical elements and three loops (D, anti-codon, and T loops). Lineage: Eukaryota; Metazoa; Chordata; Amphibia; Anura; Ranidae. The record is from RNAcentral.
UAUGCAGCUUAAUAAAAGCCCCUCACUUACACUGAGAAGAUAUCUGUUAAACCCGGAUCAUAUUGAG